Molecule: ribosomal RNA, 1417 nt
Filed under: Burkholderia arboris
Lineage: Bacteria; Pseudomonadati; Pseudomonadota; Betaproteobacteria; Burkholderiales; Burkholderiaceae
Description: bacterial SSU rRNA
Rfam family: Bacterial small subunit ribosomal RNA
Source: RNAcentral
UCGAACGGCAGCACGGGUGCUUGCACCUGGUGGCGAGUGGCGAACGGGUGAGUAAUACAUCGGAACAUGUCCUGUAGUGGGGGAUAGCCCGGCGAAAGCCGGAUUAAUACCGCAUACGAUCUACGGAUGAAAGCGGGGGACCUUCGGGCCUCGCGCUAUAGGGUUGGCCGAUGGCUGAUUAGCUAGUUGGUGGGGUAAAGGCCUACCAAGGCGACGAUCAGUAGCUGGUCUGAGAGGACGACCAGCCACACUGGGACUGAGACACGGCCCAGACUCCUACGGGAGGCAGCAGUGGGGAAUUUUGGACAAUGGGCGAAAGCCUGAUCCAGCAAUGCCGCGUGUGUGAAGAAGGCCUUCGGGUUGUAAAGCACUUUUGUCCGGAAAGAAAUCCUUGGCUCUAAUACAGUCGGGGGAUGACGGUACCGGAAGAAUAAGCACCGGCUAACUACGUGCCAGCAGCCGCGGUAAUACGUAGGGUGCGAGCGUUAAUCGGAAUUACUGGGCGUAAAGCGUGCGCAGGCGGUUUGCUAAGACCGAUGUGAAAUCCCCGGGCUCAACCUGGGAACUGCAUUGGUGACUGGCAGGCUAGAGUAUGGCAGAGGGGGGUAGAAUUCCACGUGUAGCAGUGAAAUGCGUAGAGAUGUGGAGGAAUACCGAUGGCGAAGGCAGCCCCCUGGGCCAAUACUGACGCUCAUGCACGAAAGCGUGGGGGAGCAAACAGGAUUAGAUACCCUGGUAGUCCACGCCCUAAACGAUGUCAACUAGUUGUUGGGGAUUCAUUUCCUUAGUAACGUAGCUAACGCGUGAAGUUGACCGCCUGGGGAGUACGGUCGCAAGAUUAAAACUCAAAGGAAUUGACGGGGACCCGCACAAGCGGUGGAUGAUGUGGAUUAAUUCGAUGCAACGCGAAAAACCUUACCUACCCUUGACAUGGUCGGAAUCCCGCUGAGAGGUGGGAGUGCUCGAAAGAGAACCGGCGCACAGGUGCUGCAUGGCUGUCGUCAGCUCGUGUCGUGAGAUGUUGGGUUAAGUCCCGCAACGAGCGCAACCCUUGUCCUUAGUUGCUACGCAAGAGCACUCUAAGGAGACUGCCGGUGACAAACCGGAGGAAGGUGGGGAUGACGUCAAGUCCUCAUGGCCCUUAUGGGUAGGGCUUCACACGUCAUACAAUGGUCGGAACAGAGGGUUGCCAACCCGCGAGGGGGAGCUAAUCCCAGAAAACCGAUCGUAGUCCGGAUUGCACUCUGCAACUCGAGUGCAUGAAGCUGGAAUCGCUAGUAAUCGCGGAUCAGCAUGCCGCGGUGAAUACGUUCCCGGGUCUUGUACACACCGCCCGUCACACCAUGGGAGUGGGUUUUACCAGAAGUGGCUAGUCUAACCGCAAGGAGGACGGUCACCACGGUAGGAUUCAUGACUG